This is a long non-coding RNA of Phyllopteryx taeniolatus (common seadragon), 311 nucleotides long. RefSeq lists it as uncharacterized. NCBI's taxonomy places the organism in Eukaryota, Metazoa, Chordata, Actinopteri, Syngnathiformes, Syngnathidae. The record is from RefSeq and is a predicted model, not a curated record. The transcript has 3 exons.
ACGCGGGAACGAAGCGAGGGUCCGAACACUUAAGGACAAGGGAGUAAGGAGGUUGGACUGGAUUCUGUGUUAUGUAUACAAACACACGAUAAGUCAAGUGCAAAUGAGCAGACACGUGACGGCGUGCUUCAGAUGUAAGCGUCUACAAAUAUCCGAGAGGUGCCAGAAGAAAUGCUUGCAGGAAAAAGGAGACCUCUUUUACACAGAGAAAUCGGGACUUUUUCUGUUUUUCCGAGUGAAAGCAAUCGAUGCAGUUUUACAGCCAGCGUGAAAGGGGCCAAGAUGAUGACCGACGUCUAGAAGCAGGUCAG